UACACUCAAACCCCGCCCCCAGCGAAGCCCCUACUAAAGGUUCCUUGACCUUGAUUGUCUCAAAUCCCUAGCAACCAUAGGCUGAGUACUGAAACGAUGGGUCAGAAAGAUGGCUCAGUGGGGAGGCCAAGCACGACACCACCCCGACUUCAAAACCCGAGCUCUAGACAGGAAAGUGAGAGAACCCUCCACAUGUGCGCUCCCCACGCGAAGGUUAUAUGGCCACCUAGGACUGCCUUGCAACCACGUCUUUCUUUCGGGAGGGACUGACUUGCUGUGCUUGUGUUCUGCUCCUGCGACCCCACCUAUUUUGUCCCCCCCAAGCCUCCCACUUGGAAACUUCCUUCUCGUGAGCUGUGAAAGCUUUGUCUUUCUCACAUUCAAUGAUGACCUCUGGAACUUUGCCUUAGAGGGAGGCAAUCUGAGUAUAAAAUAGAGAA
This is a long non-coding RNA of Mesocricetus auratus (golden hamster), 440 nucleotides long. RefSeq lists it as uncharacterized. The transcript has 3 exons. The record is from RefSeq and is a predicted model, not a curated record. Lineage: Eukaryota; Metazoa; Chordata; Mammalia; Rodentia; Cricetidae.